AAAUUGAAGAGUUUGAUCAUGGCUCAGAUUGAACGCUGGCGGCAGGCCUAACACAUGCAAGUCGAACGGUAACAGGAAGCAGCUUGCUGCUUCGCUGACGAGUGGCGGACGGGUGAGUAAUGUCUGGGAAACUGCCUGAUGGAGGGGGAUAACUACUGGAAACGGUGGCUAAUACCGCAUAACGUCGCAAGACCAAAGAGGGGGACCUUCGGGCCUCUUGCCAUCAGAUGUGCCCAGAUGGGAUUAGCUUGUUGGUGAGGUAACGGCUCACCAAGGCGACGAUCCCUAGCUGGUCUGAGAGGAUGACCAGCCACACUGGAACUGAGACACGGUCCAGACUCCUACGGGAGGCAGCAGUGGGGAAUAUUGCACAAUGGGCGCAAGCCUGAUGCAGCCAUGCCGCGUGUAUGAAGAAGGCCUUCGGGUUGUAAAGUACUUUCAGCGGGGAGGAAGGUGUUGCGGUUAAUAACCGCAGCAAUUGACGUUACCCGCAGAAGAAGCACCGGCUAACUCCGUGCCAGCAGCCGC
Molecule: ribosomal RNA, 528 nt
Filed under: Salmonella enterica subsp. enterica serovar Infantis
Lineage: Bacteria; Pseudomonadati; Pseudomonadota; Gammaproteobacteria; Enterobacterales; Enterobacteriaceae
Also listed under: 1 other name
Description: bacterial SSU rRNA
Rfam family: Bacterial small subunit ribosomal RNA
Source: RNAcentral